This 244-nucleotide long non-coding RNA is filed under the name Solanum tuberosum (potato). RNAcentral's name for it is "long non-coding RNA (STUB_LNC000719)". The record is from RNAcentral. Lineage: Eukaryota; Viridiplantae; Streptophyta; Magnoliopsida; Solanales; Solanaceae.
CUGCAGUUCUCCUUCUUUCAAACUUGCCACUGCUCAUCUCAUAUCUCAUUUGCCUUCUCCUGAUUUGGUUGCUGAUUUGUGUGUGUAGUUGUGGCUCCAGCCGUCAGUACUUGCUUGGUAGUGAUAAUAGGAGUCGCAAGCUCAAUAUGGAUAUCAUUUUUAGCCUGAUUUUGUCUUAGUCGAGCAGCAAAUGAUUGGAUAAUAGUGUAGGGAGCUGGUUCAGGGACUAUGUCCUUAUUAGCCU